CGGGAGCGUGGGAGCGGGGGCCGGAGCGGAAGGGCCGCGGGGCCCGGGCGUCCCCGGCGGUCCCGGCCCUUGGCGUUGUUUCCGCGGCGGGCGCGGCCGCCCUCCCCGCCGCCGCCUGCGCCUCCCCGCCCCGCGCCGACAUGCCCUCAGUGCGCCUGCCGCCGCCGCGCCCGCGCUGCUAGACCGUGCGGCCGCCAUGGGCAAUGGGAUGAACAAGGAUCCCAUGGACAGAUUACGUUUCCAGAAAGCCUGUCAUGUGUUUUGGCUCCUUGGCAGUAGAGGCUGGGUUUUCCUCUGAGGGACUCUUGUACCUUUCCCAGUUGCAGAGCUGACCCUGCCUCCAUGCUGUGACUCGGUCAGGGACAUCCUGCCUGGCCUGUAUAUCGGCAACUUCAAAGACGCCAGAGAUGCCGAGCAGCUGAGCAAGAACAAGGUGACACACAUUCUGUCUGUGCACGACAGCGCCAGGCCAAUGCUGGAGGGGGUUAAAUACCUGUGCAUUCCGGCAUCGGAUUCACCCUCUCAAAACCUGUAAGUUGCUUACUGGUGUAUUAUUUGGACAUGUUAAGAAUGAAUGACUGUGAAGCCGUCAGAACAGAGGGGCCUUGAUACCGAGCACAGCUGCCCCCCUGCAGGAGGGCGGGGGCCCCACCGAGGUCUGUGCCCCUGCAGCUUCCACUGAGCAGCACCGUGCCGUGCGUGUGGGGUGUGUGAGAAGUCUAAUUCCAUAAAGGAUGCCUCAAACCAAAUCUUCAUCAGGUUCACCCUUUCUCUGGAAGCCUUUGCAUUUUGUCCCGUAGAAAUAGUAUAUGAGCCACACAUGUAAUCUUAAAUCUUCUGGGAGCCACAUUAAUAAAGUAAGAAAGAAACAGGUGGCAAGAUUUUAGUAACAUGUUUUAUUUAACCUGAUAUACCCAAAAGACUCUCAAUUCAGCAUGUGUUCAGUACGUAAAACAUGAGGCGUUUUGCGUCUUUGGGGGAUACCGAGUCUUCAGAAUCUGGCGUGCUUUUACACUGACAGCACGUCUCCCCUGGGACCAGCUUCGUUUCAAGAGCUCUGCAGCUUCACGUGGCUAGUGGCCACCCAUAGGGACCUGCACUUGGAAAGCUUGUUGGAGUUGAGAGAUGAGUUUUUUCUAGUUAAGAAAGUCCUGCCCUCUGUUCCCCACAGCUGAGUACAUCUCCGAUGCCACUUUAGCUCUGUUGUCCACUCCAAGAGAGAGUCAUAAUUGCUGUCCCUUCCAGAGCCUCACAGUUGUAUGAGACCCGUGAGACUGGGCUUUGGAGAAAGGGGGGCAGGGCUCAGCGUGGAGCCCCAGCAGGGUUACAGCUGUGCCACCGCACUCAGUGACUUGGAAGGACCGUGAUGUGGAGGAGACGAAAGUUUCCCUGAGCCCGGAUUUGAACUGUGUCGGCGGCUGAGAGGCCCAGAAGUGCUCCCAGAAACCCAGCCUCUGCAUCUCAGGCUCACCUUGGCAGCUAGUUUAGCUCAGACACAGUGACCCUUCUGGCAUUAUGUGUGACUGCAUUUCCUCAGGGAAGCUGGAAGCCAUGGUAUUCCCGAGUUUGGGAAUCCACAGGCUUGUCGAGAUUGAUCCUUCAUGAUUCCCAAGCCCGACUGCCUACAAGUCUUGCAUGUCAGGAGUACAGCCCACAUAGCCUUGUGUUAGGACCCUGUGUGCCCAGCCCGUCUGAAAGCUGUGGAAGGCUGGACCUGACUACAGCCUUGGCUUUUCACGGUGGGAGAGCGAGAAAUCACAGGUUGUGCAAUACUUUUGUGAGAUCUACCUGUUUGGGAGAGAGGGGAGGCUCCUGUUGGAUGGACCAAUGUGGGGAGUGGACAGGGGUGGAAGCAGGUGCAGGAGGUGUAGCAUCAGAGCAGGCAAGGGCAGGGGCUGGACUCAGGCACAUGGGUCCGGCCCGAGCCCCGUGUUUCCACUCUACCUCUUAUUUCGCAGAAAAAGCCAGUCCUUAUGAUUGAGGUGGUGGAGGAGAGGUUGUACAGGAUCGCUAGGAAGACAGUGGUGGCCGAGGUCUGGAAGGGGAAGAAGUGCCAGAGAACGUCCUUGGUUACCAGUCGUGUCGAGAAACAGAAGUGGUUGGAGGGCUUGUGUGUACGGAAGGAAGUGAGCCACGGCCUUUCUCUCGAGACCACAGCGAUCUUCUGCCCGUGUUUUGGUGGCUAUUUUUAGAAGAGUUGCUUUGCUCUUAUCUCAAACUGAGAUUCUAACAUGCUAUUGAGCGUGUCAGUACCUGCUUGGACCAUGACUCUUGGAAGAAUUCGACUGAAACACCCCUGGGCACCUGUAGUCCGAGCAGAUGCCAUUGUGCUGCAGCUGCCCCAGGAUCCUUGAGCUUUGCCUGGACAGGGUCCCUGACUCACCUCGCGCGCGAAGACAGCGCUGAGCGGCCCCCCGUGCUGUACCGCUGGCCAUAGACCCAGACGUUCGGCGUCUCAGGUGCAAAACCAGCUUCGUCUGCUCUGGAUGGCUCUUCAGUUGUUACAUCUGAAAAUGCUGCCCUGGGGAUCUGGGGAGAUGGGACCAUGCGUGUAGAAGUGUUCUUCCCGACUCCUGAGCCUUUGACUCUAAGGGUGUUUCUCCUCCAGGUGCAUGCAAUGUGGAAACGAUAGCUUUGGGGCUGGGGAGGCUCCCUCCAGCUGCUGGGAAGAUGGGACGAGGGAGCAGCAGCUGCUCCCCUGACUUCCAGCAUCUCCCGCCUCAGCUCAAGUCUUCUGGCAAAACCAGCCCAAACACAGUCAGCCUGGGGCCAGAGGACCAACUCAUAAGAUUUGAAUUCAUUCGCUUCUGUCCCAAAUAUGUACAGAAGUCUUGUCGAGAGUUUUGCAAGAUCAGAGCUAAGUGGGCCCUGGCGUGCUGUGUCCUGCUUCCCUGGAGCUGCACACGCAUGACUCCGGAGGACCCUGCAGAGGACAAGACAUUUCAAGGAAAGCAUCCAGUUCAUCCACGAGUGCCGACUCAGGGGCGAGGGCUGCCUGGUGCACUGCCUCGCCGGCGUCUCUAGGAGCGUCACUCUGGUGGUUGCCUACGUCAUGACGGUCACGGACCUCGGCUGGGAGGAUGCCCUGCACACCGUGCGGGCAGGCAGGUCCUGCGCCAACCCCAACCUGGGCUUCCAGAGGCAGCUCCAGGAGUUUGAGGAGCACCACGUCCAUCAGUACCGGCAAUGGCUGAAGGAGGAGUACGGAGAGAGCCCCUUGCGGGAUGCAGAAGAAGCCAGAAGCAUCCUGGGUAAAUACAAAGAGCAGGGGCGCGCUGAGCCCCAGCCUGGCGCCGGGCGCUGGGGUGGCCUCUCGGCCCUGCCUCCUCUGGCCCACGGCGGCUACACCACAGAGACCUAGCCAGGCCCCGGCCAGUCUUCCUGCCAGCUGCCCUGGUUGCCGGCUGCACGCAAGGACUGGAAGGGGUGUCCAGGUGGAUCCAGGCCCCUCCCGAGACCCCACUAGCCCUGCCACCACCCACGCUGCCCCCGCCCCAGCUUCUGCACUGUCUGGAUGCUGCUGCCUUUCCUGCCUGUGGGCGAGCCGGAGCGCAUGUACACAUGUGGGUGAGCGUGUCUGUGCGUGAGUGGGAGCUCUGGAUGUUCAUGCUGCGGGAAGCAUCACGAGGUCCACGCUGCCAGGACAGGUCCUGCUGCCCUUCCCUCGUCCAUGAUCCCCUGGGAAGGCACUUGGAGUUGACCUUGGAAAAGCUAUUCAGCCAAAGAAGCCUGUGCCUGUGAGCAGACAGCAAGGAGAACUCGGGGUGCCCGCUCCGCCCCCUGAGGGUGGUUCCAGGGCUCUGGGGCGGGGUGGGGGUUGCAUGUCCCUGGGCGAUGAGGAUGGGGCCUCCUCGAUUCUGACGAGCCGCCAUCCCCCUCGAGCCUGCCCUGCCCAGCCCUUGGCGUCCGAGUCCUCCCUGCAUGUGUCCUCCUCACCGAGCACACUGGCUGCGGGGAGAGCAGCCCAGACGCCCCCCACCCCCCGUCCAGCUUCCCCCGCUUCCGGCCUCCUGCUCCCCUCAUUCUUCUGGGGCCUCUGCACGAAGUUCGCAUGUACCCUUGGGAUUUGGGAAGCAAGAGCGGUCCUUAGACACCGUCAUAGUUUGCGUCUAAGCAUACAUUUAGAAAUGCCUGAGCACUUCCUACACGCCUUUGUGAUUGCUGUGGAUUUGGUAUUUGAUCUCAGCUACCUCAUUAAAGCGUUUUUGAAAAGGUGUUUUUCAUUGUUCCAAGUGCCUCUGCCUCACAGUUGAAACAUUCCAUCGCAGUUGCUUUUGAAGCCAAAGGGAAAAGGGUCAUGUUCACUGGGCUGCGGGAGCGCUUUCCGGUGGGUAAAUCUGACAUCAGGCCAAGCUGGCCAGCCCGGCAAGACGUGCAGUUUGCAGCUUGGGCUUUGCGCCUCGCUCCACGCCGCCCCUGCCGCUCGUGGGGAGCAGUCCCGUGGUCCAGCCCUUUGUACUGACUCGGACGGUUUAAGCACGCAGAGCUGCAAGAAUGAAAAAGCGUUCUUGGCCUCUCCCUAAAAAGAUGUUGCAACACAGUUUCUCCGAAUUCCACCACAAAAAGCCCCCUGAAUAAGAAGAGCAGCUUUCCCUGUGUGUGGAGGGUGGACACAGCCACCCCGGGGAUUCUGGAGCACUGGGCCUUUCUCAGAAGACCUCUUGCAUGUACCCGAACUUUCUGAAAUACUGCAAAGCCACAGAGUUGAGGCUGGUGCUGCCAAGAAGAAAAGCAACCAGAGUUCCUAUUAAGUGUCCAGAAGUGCUUUGUGAACUUGCCUGCUUUCGUUGAAACAAUACGUGUGCAAUUGUGUUGUUCUGUGUUGGGCCGUGUACUCCCUCCUUGGCAAGAGAACAGUCUCUACCUAA
This is a non-coding RNA of Sus scrofa (pig), 4868 nucleotides long. Lineage: Eukaryota; Metazoa; Chordata; Mammalia; Artiodactyla; Suidae. The record is from RefSeq and is a predicted model, not a curated record.